RNAcentral lists this ribosomal RNA (485 nucleotides) under uncultured bacterium. Its description in RNAcentral is "bacterial SSU rRNA". It matches the Rfam family "Bacterial small subunit ribosomal RNA", at positions 33 to 507 of the family's 1533-position model. The record is from RNAcentral.
GACGACGCUGGCGGCGUGGAUUAGGCAUGCAAGUCGAACGGUAUCAUCCUUUCGGGGGUGAGAGAGUGGCGAACUGGUGAGUAACACGUAGGUUAUCUACCCUCGAGACGGGGAAACCCAGGGAAACUUGGGCUAAUACCGGAUGUGAGCAACUUUUAGUCGUUUGAAAGGUGGCGUAAGCUGUCGCUUGGGGAUGAGCCUGCGUCCUAUUAGUUAGUUGGUGAGGUAACGGCUCACCUAGGCAAUGAUAGGUAGGCGGCCUUAACGGGUGGUCGCCCACACUGGGAUUGAGAUACGGCCCAGACUCCUACGGGAGGCAGCAGUCGAGAAUAGUCUACAAUGGUCGGAAGACUGAUAGUGCGACGCCGCGUGAACGAUGAAUCCCUUCGGGGUGUAAAGUUCUUUUAUAUGUGAGCAGUGCUUCUUAUAUUAACAGUAUGGGGAGAGAGAUAUUAGCAUAUGAAUAAGCAACGGCUAACUCCGUG